Schizosaccharomyces pombe (fission yeast) is the source of this 119-nucleotide non-coding RNA. The record is from Rfam. Lineage: Eukaryota; Fungi; Ascomycota; Schizosaccharomycetes; Schizosaccharomycetales; Schizosaccharomycetaceae.
GUCUACGGCCAUACCUAGGCGAAAACACCAGUUCCCGUCCGAUCACUGCAGUUAAGCGUCUGAGGGCUUCGUUAGUACUAUGGUUGGAGACAACAUGGGAAUCCGGGGUGCUGUAGGCU